CUUGUGUCCUUUUUGUUUAAUGUUUUGGGUGCUUUGCUUAUUUAUUUUGGAGAUUUAAAAUGUCUGCCACCUCCAGUUUUAAAUGAUCAUUAGAAAUUCAAGUUUAUUGAUCUUCGAUAGGGAGCACUUCCAUUAUUAUGUCUUCAUUAUAAUAUUACUUGAAAAUUGUAAUAUUAUUGUUUAGCGCAAUAAAUUGUUAUUAAAUUGUUAAGACACAGCAGACAUGGAAGAAGGCGCUCUGGUCAGAUGACACAAAAUAUGAACUUUCUGAUCUAACAGCUAAAUAUUAUGUGUCAGAAUCAUGCUGUGGAGAUGAGUUUCUUCACUAGGGGCAGGAAAGAGAGUCAGAGUGGAUGUGAAGAUAGAUGAAGCUAAAUACAGGACAAUCCUGAAAGAAAAACGUUUUAAAAGUUAAGUUCAAAUCCACCUAAAUUCAAUUUAAUGCAAGAAAAAUGUGCAAAGCUG
Xiphophorus couchianus (Monterrey platyfish) is the source of this 465-nucleotide long non-coding RNA. RefSeq lists it as uncharacterized. NCBI's taxonomy places the organism in Eukaryota, Metazoa, Chordata, Actinopteri, Cyprinodontiformes, Poeciliidae. The transcript has 2 exons. The record is from RefSeq and is a predicted model, not a curated record.